UUCUGUUUUCAUGUUGUGGUUAUGUUAGUUGAGUUGUUUGGGAGAAAACGGGUUUUUCGUGUGAAAUGUCGAUGUUUAAGCGUUUUCGCCAAUAAGUGAUUAUGUGAGGUUUUGGAAAAUGACUUUUGGGAUGGUUGAAACAUGAAAUUUUUGUAGAUUAUGAUAGUGCCAAGUGUUAGGAGCAUGUAGGCGAAAACGGCAUCGAAAACGGAUUAACGGUUUGAUUUUUAUGCGCGAAAACGUAGAAGUUGAAUUUUGCAUAGUCUGCUACUGUCAAAAUCAUGAAGCGAUCUUACAAAUCGUGAGGUGAUUUUGACAGAAACAACAAAUUUUCUGCAUAGCCUGGUGUUGUCGAAUCAUGAAGCGAUUUCGCAAAUCAUGAGGCGAUUUUGACAGCAACAUCAAAUUUUUCUACUCAGUCUGAUGCUGUCAAAAUCAUGAAGCGAUCUUACGAGUCAUGAAGCGAUUUUGGCAGCCUAGAAACCUUAAAAAUGCAAUUUUCUUUGAUCCAAUUACUUCCAAACUUCUUCCUAAGUGUAGGGACUUUAUCCUAAUCAUCUAGGGGUGUUUUUAUGAGAGAUUUAACCUUGUGAGAAAGGGGUCUCGUGGAUUCUUAUGUUGUUUUGUCUUGGAACUUCUCAUACGAACUUAAGCUAUCCUUUGAACUAAAUUCUAAUAGUUUGUAAGUGGCUUGAGUCCUUGACUACAUGAUUGAUUAAGAUUGAAUUGUAGGAUUUCAAACUUAAAUAAGUUGCCUAACUUUGAAAAUUAUCAAUGUUGGCCGUUUGCCACAUGAUUUGGAUUUUUGUCGGAAAUGUUUCUUUAACAAAUUGUCUUGUGAGUUAUUGAGAUUAUUCUUAUAUGACUAAGUGAAGUUGUAUGAAUGAGUGAUUAUAUUUUGGAUAUGAUGCUUAUCAUGAGAUAUGUAUGCUAUCUUACUUGGAAUGUGAGAAAUGCUUGAAUUAGUGAACUAUAUGUGAUAGUUGAUGUUGAAUGACAUUGUUGAUUAUUGAUAGUCAUGUUUAUGUAUGAUGAAUUGUGGAUGUUGAAUAUGAUAUUUAUCAUGAGAUGUUGUUUUCCCUAUUACUUGGAAUAUGAGAAUGCUUGAAAUGGUGAAACUAUAUGUGAUAGUUGAUGUUGAAUGACAUUGUUGAUUAUUGAUAGUCAUGUUUAUGUAUGAUGAAUUGUGGAUGUUGAAUAUGAUAUUUAUCAUGAGAUGUUGUUUUCCCUAUUACUUGGAAUAUGAGAAUGCUUGAAAUGGUGAAACUAUAUGUGAUAGUUGAUGUUGAAUGACAUUGUUGAUUAUUGAUAGUCAUGUUUAUGUAUGAUGAAUUGUGGAUGUUGAAUAUGAUAUUUAUCAUGAGAUGUUGUUUUCCCUAUUACUUGGAAUAUGAGAAUGCUUGAAAUGGUGAAACUAUAUGUGAUAGUUGAUGUUGAAUGACAUUGUUGAUUAUUGAUAGUCAUGUUUAUGUAUGAUGAAUUGUGGAUGUUGAAUAUGAUAUUUAUCAUGAGAUGUUGUUUUCCCUAUUACUUGGAAUAUGAGAAUGCUUGAAAUGGUGAAACUAUAUGUGAUAGUUGAUGUUGAAUGACAUUGUUGAUUAUUGAUAGUCAUGUUUAUGUAUGAUGAAUUGUGGAUGUUGAAUAUGAUAUUUAUCAUGAGAUGUUGUUUUCCCUAUUACUUGGAAUAUGAGAAUGCUUGAAAUGGUGAAACUAUAUGUGAUAGUUGAUGUUGAAUGACAUUGUUGAUUAUUGAUA
This 1755-nucleotide long non-coding RNA is filed under the name Medicago truncatula (barrel medic). RNAcentral's name for it is "long non-coding RNA (MTRU_LNC006066)". Lineage: Eukaryota; Viridiplantae; Streptophyta; Magnoliopsida; Fabales; Fabaceae. The record is from RNAcentral.